Molecule: ribosomal RNA, 497 nt
Filed under: uncultured bacterium
Lineage: Bacteria
Description: partial 16S ribosomal RNA
Rfam family: Bacterial small subunit ribosomal RNA
Source: RNAcentral
GAUGAACGCUGGCGGCGUGCCUAAUACAUGCAAGUCGAGCGAACAGACGAGGAGCUUGCUCCUCUGACGUUAGCGGCGGACGGGUGAGUAACACGUGGAUAACCUACCUAUAAGACUGGGAUAACUUCGGGAAACCGGAGCUAAUACCGGAUAAUAUAUUGAACCGCAUGGUUCAAUAGUGAAAGACGGUUUUGCUGUCACUUAUAGAUGGAUCCUCGCCGCAUUAGCUAGUUGGUAAGGUAACGGCUUACCAAGGCAACGAUGCGUAGCCGACCUGAGAGGGUGAUCGGCCACACUGGAACUGAGACACGGUCCAGACUCCUACGGGAGGCAGCAGUAGGGAAUCUUCCGCAAUGGGCGAAAGCCUGACGGAGCAACGCCGCGUGAGUGAUGAAGGUCUUCGGAUCGUAAAACUCUGUUAUUAGGGAAGAACAAAUGUGUAAGUAACUAUGCACGCCUUGACGGUACCUAAUCAGAAAGCCACGGCUAACUACGUG